Molecule: long non-coding RNA, 130 nt
Organism: Salvelinus namaycush (lake trout)
Lineage: Eukaryota; Metazoa; Chordata; Actinopteri; Salmoniformes; Salmonidae
Exons: 2
Source: RefSeq, a predicted model, not a curated record
GUGGGUUGUGGGUUAUUGUCUAUGUGUUAGUUGCUUGUGUCUGCACUAUUAUAUAUAGCGUCACGUUCGUUUUGUUGUUUGUAUUAGUUUGGUUAGGUUUUCUUCUUAAAUAAAUAGAAGAAUGUAUUCA